Molecule: microRNA precursor, 132 nt
Filed under: Hordeum vulgare
Lineage: Eukaryota; Viridiplantae; Streptophyta; Magnoliopsida; Poales; Poaceae
Description: microRNA MIR1122
Rfam family: MIR1120/MIR1122 microRNA precursor family
Source: RNAcentral
AAAAUACUCCAUCCGUCCGUUAAUACUUGUCCUAAAAAUGGAUAAAUCUAAACUUAUUUUAGUUAUAGAUACAUCCAAUAUCUAGGUUCAUCCAUUUUUAGAACAAGUAUUUCCGGACGGAGGGAGUAAGAG